CCAGGCCAGGCAAGGGAAAAGCAAUGUUGUCCGAGUUGUGAGACCCCAGAAAAAGACAUAAUUUUCUAGGACAUAGGAACCAUAGGACUACGAGGAUGGUUGAUGUGGACAUGGAAGUGAAAAGGACACCUAAGGCAGUUUUGGCAGAGCCCAGUUGAAACACUUGAAAAUGUAACUCAACAAGUUUUAACAGCUGAAUAUGGAUUUCUCUGACAUCUCCUUUUUAGGUCAAUGAUGGAAGAGCAUACUAUUCAUGUAUUACUGGCUAUGAGGCGAUUGAAUGUGCUGGAAGACCAAAAGAACCAUGAACUUGUUUGAUGAUUGGCUGCCUUCACCAUGCCGGGGGAUGGAGCCAAGAGAUGAAAACUCCAGGAUGAGGAUGUGAGAGGAGACGAUACAACAUCACAUCGAUGACGCUGUGAAGUCAUCAGGAAUAUGAGGAUCUACAUUGCAGUAUGAUUGGUUGCCUUCACCAUGCCAGAGGAUGGCGCCAAGAGAAGACACAACAUCACAUCAAUGACUCUGUGAAGUCAUCAGCAAUAUGAGGAUCUACAUUGCAGAAUGAUUGGCUGCCUUCAUCAUGCCGGGGCAUGGAGCCGAGAGAUGAAAACUCCUCAAUGGAGAUGUGAGAGAAGACACAACAUCACAUCAAUGGCAACUCUGUGGAGUCAUUGGGAAUAUGAAGAUCUACAUUGCAGGAUGCUGUACAGCAUUUGGAUUAGCUGUUCCCCCCGUCUCAGUUGCCUAAGGUUAGUAAACCAUGGGCUAUCAAGUUGCAUUUUCUGUCAACUCAACUCAUACAAAGAAGUGUAUAUUUACAAUUAAUCUGACAUUUUCAAAUUGAGGGGGGGGGGGGGGGGUUGUACCCGUUAUGCAAUUCUGAAUGUAGAAGUAUAUUGUUUUCCUGAUCCAUACAAAAAUAUUCUGGAUGUUUUAUAUUUCACUUCAUUCUUUAUUUAUUUUUUAAAAUAUGCAAACACUAAAAUAUAUACAAAGCAUUUCAAGGUAAAAUGGGGUGUGUAUGUUGUGAGGCAAUGUUUUAAUCACGAAUAGAUAUCUUAUUAAUUAUACAACAGCAAUAUUCUUCUGAUUCUGUUAAUGCUGGUGACAGAAAAUCAUGAAGUAUGGAGACUGCCCUGUGAUGACAAAAGAUGCCUUAUUCAGAAACUGGGGUGUGAACAUCCCAUCAUACACCUUUCUUACAUUCUAAUGCUACUCUUCUCCUGCUCUUGUUUCUCUUUUCUUUCCUUUCCUUAUUUUCCCUCUCAUUCUCUAUGGGAUGUUUGCAGUUUGAACCAGUUUGGUGAGAAUCAAUGUCUGAGGGCACAUUUUGCAAACCAAUUUCGAAAUGGACUUAUGUGCAUUACGAAAUAUUGUAAUGUGGUUAUUGUAGGGACAUCACUCAUAUUAUGUUGCGACUUAUGUGGUGAGAUUUUAGGUAUUAUAUAAGUCACAUGAGAUAUCUUUGACGUUUCGUUAUUUGAUCAUUAAAUUAUUUUUAUUUUUCUCUCUGUCCAAAGCUUGGUCAACAUCGCUGGUUCAUCAGAUCUGAUUCAAAAGAACUGGAGGGCAUUUUAAAGCUAUCUGUGAGAAAAUGCAAGUGGACUUAUAACUCAACUGAAGACAUCUAGAGGACGGCCCCAGUGCUGUAGGAAUUUUAGACCUACAGCUAGUAAACAAUACAACUUUUAAUUUCAAUUUUGCCGCUGUAAGUUGCAUGGGACAUACCCAAAAGUAGGGAGACUCACUCGAGUGAAAACCUGAAUAACUCACUGGCAUUUUGAUAGUGAGCAUUUGCCAAAACCAAUCUUUGAGGUUUUUCAUGCUUAUAAGUGAUUGCUUUCCAAUUCCAAUGAAA
Molecule: long non-coding RNA, 1858 nt
Organism: Strongylocentrotus purpuratus (purple sea urchin)
Lineage: Eukaryota; Metazoa; Echinodermata; Echinoidea; Camarodonta; Strongylocentrotidae
Exons: 7
Source: RefSeq, a predicted model, not a curated record